UGGGGAAUAUUGCACAAUGGGCGCAAGCCUGAUGCAGCCAUGCCGCGUGUGUGAAGAAGGCCUUCGAGUUGUAAAGCACUUUCAGCGAGGAGGAAGGUGGUGAGCUUAAUACGCUCAUCAAUUGACGUUACUCGCAGAAGAAGCACCGGCUAACUCCGUGCCAGCAGCCGCGGUAAUACGGAGGGUGCAAGCGUUAAUCGGAAUUACUGGGCGUAAAGCGCACGCAGGCGGUUUGUUAAGUCAGNUGUGAAAUCCCCGGGCUCAACCUGGGAACUGCAUUUGAAACUAGCAAGCUAGAGUCUCGUAGAGGGGGGUAGAAUUCCAGGUGUAGCGGUGAAAUGCGUAGAGAUCUGGAGGAAUACCGGUGGCGAAGGCGGCCCCCCUGGACGAAGACUGACGCUCAGGUGCGAAAAGCGUGGGGGCAGCAAACAGGAUUAGAUACCCUGGUUAGGUCCAGCGCUGUAAAACCGAUGUCGAUUUGGAGGUUGUGCCCCUUGAGGCGUGGCUUCCGGAGCUAACGCGUUAAAUCGACCGCCUGGGGAGUNCGGCCGCAAGGUU
Molecule: ribosomal RNA, 558 nt
Filed under: uncultured bacterium
Lineage: Bacteria
Description: partial 16S ribosomal RNA
Rfam family: Bacterial small subunit ribosomal RNA
Source: RNAcentral